RNAcentral lists this microRNA precursor (116 nucleotides) under Podarcis lilfordi (Lilford's wall lizard). The record is from RNAcentral. Lineage: Eukaryota; Metazoa; Chordata; Lepidosauria; Squamata; Lacertidae.
ACCUUAGAGACCAACUAAGUUAGUUAUUGGUAUGAGUUUUCGUGUGCAUGCACACUCCUUCAGAUGCAUGCACACGAAAGCUCAUACCAACAAUUAACUUAGUUCGUCUCUAAGGU